Molecule: non-coding RNA, 842 nt
Organism: Ictidomys tridecemlineatus (thirteen-lined ground squirrel)
Lineage: Eukaryota; Metazoa; Chordata; Mammalia; Rodentia; Sciuridae
Source: RefSeq, a predicted model, not a curated record
GGGAAACGCCCACGGGGGCGGGUCCCGGCUGCUCCCUAAAGACUAUAAAGUGCACAGCUUGCUGGAAUUGCUUCUGCAUCCAAACGGCUUCAUAAAGAAUGUCUAAAGGAUGUCUUCCAUGAAGAAAGAAAUUAACACCAGAAAUAAGAAACUGGACACAAACAGUUGUACAUACAGUAUGAGCUCUUCCCUUUGAUCCUGGAAUAAAGUACAGACAAGUUCUUGCUAACUAACCAAGGAUGGCCUCAAAUCUGUGAACCUCCCCACCUCAGCCUUCCAAGUGGCUGGAAUGACUGGUGUAUGCCACCAUAGCAGGCUCUUCUCACUUUGAGAUAACAAAAAAGCACUAUAAUCACUCUAGUUUUCAAAGUUUUGAAUUUCAAGAUUUGUAAAUCAAUGUAUCCAACUCCAUUAAAAUUUAGAGCUGCUUAGGUCUACAGAGCGAGGAAGCCAAUAAAGGGGAGAAGGGAACUCUUGUUCUUUUUCUCUCUCUUCCUCCUAGGCUUCUCUUGAACCUUCCAUCUUCCCAACCAUGAUUGUGAAUCUUCCUUCAAUGUGAGAACAAGGAAAACAGAUUAGCUGGGGCAGGAAAGUUUUUAUUUGGUUAACUGUUUUAAGUUGCUUUCUGUCUUUCACAAGUGUGCAAAUGCUGAAAGUUAACACUGUCUCCUGAAGAAGUUUUAUUUCUAUUUUUUUGGAAGUCAAACCCUACUCACCUGUCAUCUCAGAUGGUCUCUAGCCUACAGUCCACUUAAAUGUACUGUAUUUCAAUGAUAAACUUAUUUCUUCCUCUGCCACAGAGAUAUAUACGUAUAUAUGCACACACACACACACACACACAC